This 1437-nucleotide ribosomal RNA is filed under the name Yersinia enterocolitica subsp. palearctica YE-P1. RNAcentral's name for it is "bacterial LSU rRNA". It matches the Rfam family "Bacterial large subunit ribosomal RNA", at positions 912 to 2227 of the family's 2925-position model. Lineage: Bacteria; Pseudomonadati; Pseudomonadota; Gammaproteobacteria; Enterobacterales; Yersiniaceae. The record is from RNAcentral.
GUUUCGGCUCGGGGGUCAUCCCGACUUACCAAACCGAUGCAAACUCCGAAUACCGAAGAAUGUUAUCACGGGAGACACACGGCGGGUGCUAACGUCCGUCGUGAAGAGGGAAACAACCCAGACCGCCAGCUAAGGUCCCAAAGUCAUGGUUAAGUGGGAAACGAUGUGGGAAGGCACAGACAGCCAGGAUGUUGGCUUAGAAGCAGCCAUCAUUUAAAGAAAGCGUAAUAGCUCACUGGUCGAGUCGGCCUGCGCGGAAGAUGUAACGGGGCUAAACCAUGCACCGAAGCUGCGGCAGCGAACGUAUCACUUAAAACGCUUAACGUGACGGCAAAGCCGGCAUGUUCAAGCCACACUAAACGUUGAGUUGGCCGAUGUGCUGACAAACGAACAGGCGUUUUAAGGAUACGUUCGUUGGGUAGGGGAGCGUUCUGUAAGCCGUUGAAGGUGGUCUGUGAGGGCUGCUGGAGGUAUCAGAAGUGCGAAUGCUGACAUAAGUAACGAUAAUGCGGGUGAAAAACCCGCACGCCGGAAGACCAAGGGUUCCUGUCCAACGUUAAUCGGGGCAGGGUGAGUCGACCCCUAAGGCGAGGCUGAAAAGCGUAGUCGAUGGGAAACAGGUUAAUAUUCCUGUACUUGGUGUUACUGCGAAGGGGGGACGGAGAAGGCUAGGCUAGCCGGGCGACGGUUGUCCCGGUUUAAGCAUGUAGGCGGAGUGACCAGGUAAAUCCGGUUGCUUAUCAACGCUGAGGUGUGAUGACGAGUCACUACGGUGAUGAAGUAGUUGAUGCCAUGCUUCCAGGAAAAGCCUCUAAGCAUCAGGUAACAUGAAAUCGUACCCCAAACCGACACAGGUGGUCAGGUAGAGAAUACUCAGGCGCUUGAGAGAACUCGGGUGAAGGAACUAGGCAAAAUGGUGCCGUAACUUCGGGAGAAGGCACGCUGGCAUUAGGUAAAGGGACUUGCUCCCGGCGCCGAAGCCAGUCGCAGAUACCAGCUGGCUGCAACUGUUUAAUAAAAACACAGCACUGUGCAAACACGAAAGUGGACGUAUACGGUGUGACGCCUGCCCGGUGCUGGAAGGUUAAUUGAUGGGGUCAGCCGCAAGGCGAAGCUCUUGAUCGAAGCCCCAGUAAACGGCGGCCGUAACUAUAACGGUCCUAAGGUAGCGAAAUUCCUUGUCGGGUAAGUUCCGACCUGCACGAAUGGCGUAAUGAUGGCCAGGCUGUCUCCACCCGAGACUCAGUGAAAUUGAACUCGCUGUGAAGAUGCAGUGUACCCGCGGCAAGACGGAAAGACCCCGUGAACCUUUACUAUAGCUUGACACUGAACAUUGAGCCUUGAUGUGUAGGAUAGGUGGGAGGCAUAGAAGUGUGGACGCCAGUCUGCAUGGAGCCAACCUUGAAAUACCACCCUUUAAUGUUUGAUGUUCUAACU